This 533-nucleotide ribosomal RNA is filed under the name Crocidura olivieri (Olivier's shrew). Its description in RNAcentral is "partial 16S ribosomal RNA". It matches the Rfam family "Bacterial large subunit ribosomal RNA", at positions 1816 to 2586 of the family's 2925-position model. The record is from RNAcentral. Lineage: Eukaryota; Metazoa; Chordata; Mammalia; Eulipotyphla; Soricidae.
CACCUCUAGCAUUUCCAGUAUUAGAGGCACUGCCUGCCCAGUGACAUUAGUUAAACGGCCGCGGUAUCCUGACCGUGCAAAGGUAGCAUAAUCAUUUGUUCCUUAAUUAGGGACUUGUAUGAAUGGCCCCACGAGGGUUUAACUGUCUCUUACUUUUAAUCAGUGAAAUUGACCUUCCCGUGAAGAGGCGGGAAUACAAAAAUAAGACGAGAAGACCCUAUGGAGCUUAAAUUAAUAUGUUCAACAGAAUUAAAUUAUAAUCCAACAGGAAUAAAAAUAUUCUAACUGAACAAUAAAUUUUGGUUGGGGUGACCUCGGAGUAUAACAUAACCUCCGAGCAAUUAAACCAAGACUUACCAGUCAAGGCCAUAUAACUUAUUGAUCCAAUCUUAUUGAUCAACGAAACAAGUUACCCUAGGGAUAACAGCGCAAUCCUAUUUAAGAGUUCAUAUCGACAAUAGGGUUUACGACCUCGAUGUUGGAUCAGGACACCCAAAUGGUGCAGCAGCUAUUAAAGGUUCGUUUGUUCAACG